UGGGGAAUUUUGGACAAUGGGCGCAAGCCUGAUCCAGCCAUUCCGCGUGCAGGAUGAAGGCCCUCGGGUUGUAAACUGCUUUUGUACGGAACGAAAAGGCGCCGGUUAAUACCUGGCGCUGAUGACGGUACCGUAAGAAUAAGCACCGGCUAACUACGUGCCAGCAGCCGCGGUAAUACGUAGGGUGCAAGCGUUAAUCGGAAUUACUGGGCGUAAAGCGUGCGCAGGCGGUGAUGUAAGACAGGUGUGAAAUCCCCGGGCUUAACCUGGGAACUGCAUUUGUGACUGCAUCGCUGGAGUGCGGCAGAGGGGGAUGGAAUUCCGCGUGUAGCAGUGAAAUGCGUAGAUAUGCGGAGGAACACCGAUGGCGAAGGCAAUCCCCUGGGCCUGCACUGACGCUCAUGCACGAAAGCGUGGGGAGCAAACA
Molecule: ribosomal RNA, 427 nt
Filed under: uncultured Ramlibacter sp.
Lineage: Bacteria; Pseudomonadati; Pseudomonadota; Betaproteobacteria; Burkholderiales; Comamonadaceae
Description: bacterial SSU rRNA
Rfam family: Bacterial small subunit ribosomal RNA
Source: RNAcentral